GACGAACGCUGGCGGCGUGCCUAAUACAUGCAAGUUGAGCGCUGAAGGUUGGUACUUGUACCAACUGGAUGAGCAGCGAACGGGUGAGUAACGCGUGGGGAAUCUGCCUUUGAGCGGGGGACAACAUUUGGAAACGAAUGCCAAUACCGCAUAAAAACUUUAAACACAAGUUUUAAGUUUGAAAGAUGCAAUUGCAUCACUCAAAGAUGAUCCCGCGUUGUAUUAGCUAGUUGGUGAGGUAAAGGCCCACCAAGGCGAUGAUACAUAGCCGACCUGAGAGGGUGAUCGGCCACAUUGGGACUGAGACACGGCCCAAACUCCUACGGGAGGCAGCAGUAGGGAAUCUUCGGCAAUGGACGAAAGUCUGACCGAGCAACGCCGCGUGAGUGAAGAAGGUUUUCGGAUCGUAAAACUCUGUUGGUAGAGAAGAACGUUGGUGAGAGUGGAAAGCUCAUCAAGUGACGGUAACUACCCAGAAAGGGACGGCUAACUACGUG
RNAcentral lists this ribosomal RNA (497 nucleotides) under uncultured bacterium. RNAcentral describes it as "partial 16S ribosomal RNA". It matches the Rfam family "Bacterial small subunit ribosomal RNA", at positions 28 to 507 of the family's 1533-position model. The record is from RNAcentral.